GGAGAUCGUGGAUGCUAUCCCUUUCCCUACUCUUCCCAUUUUACAGAGGAGGAAACUGAGGCCCAGGGAGGGAACUGGAGUCGCCCAAGAUCACACUGCUCAUUUGAGCAGGGAUAGGAGGAGAAUCCAGGGACAAGCAAGAGACAUGACGACAGAGUGGACAAAGCUGGAAGUUGGGAAACCUGCAUUUCUAGCACUGGAUACCAUCUUGUUGGGUCGUCUUGGGCAAGUCUUGUCCACUGAAUGGGCCCGUUCCAUCAUCCAAACAAUGCGGGCAGCUCUCUCUUGCAUCCAGGGCCCUCCUUCUCUGCUUGCUCUCCUCCUCCAUAAACUAGUUCUUUACUUAGGGCAGAAAUGAAGCGUGGAUGUGAAAAGAGAGAGGUAGAAAGUGAUGAAGUGCAUUUAAUUCAAUGAUUUUUUAAACUCUAGUUUUAUUCCUUAAACAUUAAAUAUUUACUGAUUUAUUCUAGGAACUUAAGCAUUUUCUUUGCUAAAGGGAGAAAAGACCCCGCCAACGAAUAAAGAAAGAGUGUUGAAGAAGGCGCGGACCAACGAGGACUUCCAGCGCCUCCAGGGGAGGGGGGCAAGUUGGCACAACCACUUUGGAGAGCAACUCUGCGAAAUCUGGUCUGGUCCAUGUGACUGGGCACUUGGAUGCAUCAGCUCCUGGGAAUGUGCUCCUGAGGGACCCUGACACGUGUGACCGAUGACACAGGACUGUCCUAAAUCAAGGCCACCUUCUCCAGGAAGCCUUCUCUGAUUUCUCCCAGUCCCUCCAGGUGGAUCAAACUCAUUGAGUCCUGCUGCAUGGAUCACUGUCUACCUUCUAUUCUUUGUAAAAAUCUGUUUGACCUGCAGAGGCAGAGGGAAAGGGAGAGGCAGGUUCCCUGCUGAACAGGGAGCUCUACCUGGGGCUCUAUCCUAGGACCCUGGAAUCAUGACCUGAGCUGAAAGCAGUUGCUUACCUGACUGAACCACCCAGGCGCCCCUCUUUUCUCAUCUUUAAAGCAGCUGCCAGGAAGCUCAGAACUAAAUCCGAUGUAAACCUGCAGUCCUGAGUCAUUCAAGGCCACCUCCAGUCCUUUAAGGAAAGAAUUUGUAAUUUAUAGAAUUGGCACAAAGGAUCAUCAUUAAGGCCAUUCUUAAAUAUCUAGUGGUUGGCAAAGAAACUCAUGCCCCAUGUGUGGAGCUAGAAGAUUCCAUCCCAAGUCGGCUGUCCAUCCACCAUUCACCAUUCCCAUCCAGGAGUCUGUGGGGCCACCGCCUGCUGUCUCGACACUCAUUCUCCCUGGACCUUCCUUCCUCAUCUAUCUGUAUCAGCUCCAGCCUCUCUCCUGGGAGGAAUUAAGCUAAAUGGUGCCUGAGGCCUCUUUCCACUGCAGCAAAGAUUAAGGGCCAAGGUUUUGGAAUGAAACAUUGCUGGCUUCACAUCCCAGCCCUGUGUGUGGGCUGUGUGACCUGGGGGGCCAGUUUCUCAAAUUCUCUGAGCCUCAGUUUCUUCAUCUGUGGCUGGGGACAUGAUUACUACCUGCAUUGUUGAUGUGCAGAUUACAUAAUGAUUUAAAACAAUUAAGCAAUCGCGUGGGUUUCUGAGUGAGCUGUAGUGUGUUUGUGUGUGACACGGUGGAAAGAAAAGGGUCCCAGGUUAGGAAUGGGACGCUCAGGGUUGGAGCCUGGCUCUGACACCAGAUGGUUCUAGGGCGUA
Mustela lutreola (European mink) is the source of this 1705-nucleotide long non-coding RNA. RefSeq lists it as uncharacterized. NCBI's taxonomy places the organism in Eukaryota, Metazoa, Chordata, Mammalia, Carnivora, Mustelidae. The transcript has 6 exons. The record is from RefSeq and is a predicted model, not a curated record.